Molecule: ribosomal RNA, 434 nt
Filed under: uncultured bacterium
Lineage: Bacteria
Description: bacterial SSU rRNA
Rfam family: Bacterial small subunit ribosomal RNA
Source: RNAcentral
GUUUCGGAUGGAAGUUUAAAAACUUAGUGGCGGACGGGUGAGUAACGCGUGGGUAACCUGCCUCAUACAGGGGGAUAACAGUUAGAAAUGACUGCUAACACCGCAUAAUAUAGCGAAACCGCAUGAUUUUUGCUAUCAAAUAUUUAUAGGUAUGAGACGGGCCCGCGUCUGAUUAGCUAGUUGGUGGGGUAAAAGCCUACCAAGGCGACGAUCAGUAGCCGGCUUGAGAGAGUGACCGGCCACAUUGGGACUGAGACACGGCCCAAACUCCUACGGGAGGCAGCAGUGGGGAAUAUUGGACAAUGGGGGAAACCCUGAUCCAGCGAACCGCCGCGUGAGUGAAGAAGUAUUUCGGUAUGUAAAGCUCUAUCAGCAGGGAAGAUAAUGACAGUACCUGACUAAGAAGCCCCGGCUAACUACGUGCCAGCCGCAGC